GAGUUUGAUUAUGGCUCAGGAUGAACGCUGGCGGCGUGCUUAACACAUGCAAGUCGAACGGGCGAAUUAUAUCGGAGGUCUUCGGGCCGAAGAGAUAAUAAGCUAGUGGCGGACGGGUGCGUAACGUGUGGGUAAUCUGCCUUUGUCAUAGGAAUAACUGCUUGAAAAAGUAGCUAAUACCAAAUAACAUAUCGUAUAGGCAUCUAUAAGAUAUCAAAGAGAAAUCGGACAAAGAUGAGCCCGCAUCUGAUUAGCUGGUUGGUAGGGUAAAAGCCUACCAAGGCGACGAUCAGUAGCCGGCCUGAGAGGGUGAACGGCCACAUUGGAACUGAGACACGGUCCAAACUCCUACGGGAGGCAGCAGUGGGGAAUAUUGCACAAUGGGGGGAACCCUGAUGCAGCAACGCCGCGUGAGUGAAGAAGGCUUUCGAGUCGUAAAACUCUGUUGUAAGGGAAGAUAAUGACGGUACCUAAAA
RNAcentral lists this ribosomal RNA (476 nucleotides) under Filifactor villosus. RNAcentral describes it as "bacterial SSU rRNA". It matches the Rfam family "Bacterial small subunit ribosomal RNA", at positions 9 to 484 of the family's 1533-position model. Lineage: Bacteria; Bacillati; Bacillota; Clostridia; Peptostreptococcales; Filifactoraceae. The record is from RNAcentral.